Molecule: ribosomal RNA, 913 nt
Filed under: uncultured bacterium
Lineage: Bacteria
Description: bacterial SSU rRNA
Rfam family: Bacterial small subunit ribosomal RNA
Source: RNAcentral
ACGCUGGCGGCGUGCCUAAUACAUGCAAGUAGAACGCUGAAGAGAGGAGCUUGCUCUUCUUGGAUGAGUUGCGAACGGGUGAGUAACGCGUAGGUAACCUGCCUUGUAGCGGGGGAUAACUAUUGGAAACGAUAGCUAAUACCGCAUAACAAUAGGUGACACAUGUCAUUUAUUUGAAAGGGGCAAUUGCUCCACUACAAGAUGGACCUGCGUUGUAUUAGCUAGUAGGUGAGGUAAUGGCUCACCUAGGCGACGAUACAUAGCCGACCUGAGAGGGUGAUCGGCCACACUGGGACUGAGACACGGCCCAGACUCCUACGGGAGGCAGCAGUAGGGAAUCUUCGGCAAUGGGGGCAACCCUGACCGAGCAACGCCGCGUGAGUGAAGAAGGUUUUCGGAUCGUAAAGCUCUGUUGUAAGUCAAGAACGAGUGUGAGAGUGGAAAGUUCACACUGUGACGGUAGCUUACCAGAAAGGGACGGCUAACUACGUGCCAGCAGCCGCGGUAAUACGUAGGUCCCGAGCGUUGUCCGGAUUUAUUGGGCGUAAAGCGAGCGCAGGCGGUUUGAUAAGUCUGAAGUUAAAGGCUGUGGCUCAACCAUAGUUCGCUUUGGAAACUGUCAAACUUGAGUGCAGAAGGGGAGAGUGGAAUUCCAUGUGUAGCGGUGAAAUGCGUAGAUAUAUGGAGGAACACCGGUGGCGAAAGCGGCUCUCUGGUCUGUAACUGACGCUGAGGCUCGAAAGCGUGGGGAGCGAACAGGAUUAGAUACCCUGGUAGUCCACGCCGUAAACGAUGAGUGCUAGGUGUUGGAUCCUUUCCGGGAUUCAGUGCCGCAGCUAACGCAUUAAGCACUCCGCCUGGGGAGUACGACCGCAAGGUUGAAACUCAAAGGAAUUGACGGGGGCCCGCACAA